UGGUAUGUGCCAGGCCCCGGUCGAUCGCGGUCUGCACAUUUAAAUGGGAAGCCGGUGCGCCCGCAGGGCCAUGCCGGCGCUGCCCCCGCAACGGUAGUCGAGGUCAAGGUAGUGCAAGCAGCCACUGUGCACACGCAUGGGAAGGCGCACCGCCAGGAGCAAUCCACUCGUCAGCCCGGAAACCAGCCAGCAGCGGUCAACACGU
Molecule: non-coding RNA, 205 nt
Filed under: Duganella sp.
Lineage: Bacteria; Pseudomonadati; Pseudomonadota; Betaproteobacteria; Burkholderiales; Oxalobacteraceae
Source: RNAcentral